UACAGAGGUGGCAAGCGUUGUUCGGAAUUACUGGGCGUAAAGGGCGCGUAGGCGGCCCCCUAAGUCAGUCGUGAAAUCCCUCGGCUUAACCGGGGAACUGCGUCUGAUACUGGAUGGCUUGAGUUCGGGAGAGGGAUGCGGAAUUCCAGGUGUAGCGGUGAAAUGCGUAGAUAUCUGGAGGAACACCGGUGGCGAAGGCGGCAUCCUGGACCAACACUGACGCUGAGGAGCGAAAGCCAGGGGAGCAAACGGG
This 253-nucleotide ribosomal RNA is filed under the name uncultured bacterium. RNAcentral's name for it is "partial 16S ribosomal RNA". It matches the Rfam family "Bacterial small subunit ribosomal RNA", at positions 524 to 776 of the family's 1533-position model. The record is from RNAcentral.